UAAUCUCACUCCGACGACUUUGUUGUUGUCUGGAGGUGGACUUGGACCCUUGCUGUGUUACAACGGCUGGUCUGAAAUGCAUGAGUGCACCCUGCUGUUGCAGCGUCUUCAGUGUGAUAAGUAUCUUCACUGAGUAAGUUCCCUUGGGACACGCCUUGCCGGUGGGCUCUGUGCCUCUAACCGUCUUAGGACAAUCUUUGACA
This 203-nucleotide unclassified non-coding RNA is filed under the name uncultured Serendipitaceae. Its description in RNAcentral is "sequence contains ITS2". The record is from RNAcentral. Lineage: Eukaryota; Fungi; Basidiomycota; Agaricomycetes; Sebacinales; Serendipitaceae.